UGGGGAAUAUUGGACAAUGGGGGCAACCCUGAUCCAGCAAUGCCGCGUGUGUGAAGAAGGUCUUCGGAUUGUAAAGCACUUUCGACGGGGACGAUGAUGACGGUACCCGUAGAAGAAGCCCCGGCUAACUUCGUGCCAGCAGCCGCGGUAAUACGAAGGGGGCUAGCGUUGCUCGGAAUGACUGGGCGUAAAGGGCGUGUAGGCGGUUUACACAGUCAGAUGUGAAAUCCCCGGGCUUAACCUGGGAGCUGCAUUUGAUACGUGUAGACUAGAGUGUGAGAGAGGGUUGUGGAAUUCCCAGUGUAGAGGUGAAAUUCGUAGAUAUUGGGAAGAACACCGGUGGCGAAGGCGGCAACCUGGCUCAUGACUGACGCUGAGGCGCGAAAGCGUGGGGAGCAAACAGGAUUAGAUACCCUGGUAGUCCACGCUGUAAACGAUGUGUGCUAGAUGUUGGGUAACUUUGUUAUUCAGUGUCGCAGUUAACGCGUUAAGCACACCGCCUGGGGGAGUACGGCCGC
Molecule: ribosomal RNA, 518 nt
Filed under: uncultured bacterium
Lineage: Bacteria
Description: partial 16S ribosomal RNA
Rfam family: Bacterial small subunit ribosomal RNA
Source: RNAcentral